UAACGCGAAGAACCUUACCAGGUCUUGACAUCUAGUGCCAUUUGUAGAGAUACAAAGUUCCCUUCGGGGACGCUAAGGCAGGUGGUGCAUGGCUGUCGUCAGCUCGUGUCGUGAGAUGUUGGGUUAAGUCCCGCAACGAGCGCAACCCUUGUUAUUAGUUGCCAGCAUUAAGUUGGGCACUCUAAUGAGACUGCCGGUGACAAACCGGAGGAAGGUGGGGAUGACGUCAAGUCAUCAUGCCCCUUAUGACCUGGGCUACACACGUGCUACAAUGGGCAGUACAACGAGAAGCGAGCCUGCGAAGGCAAGCGAAUCUCUGAAAGCUGUUCUCAGUUCGGACUGCAGUCUGCAACUCGACUGCACGAAGCUGGAAUCGCUAGUAAUCGCGGAUCAGCACGCCGCGGUGAAUACGUUCCCGGGUCUUGUACACACCGA
RNAcentral lists this unclassified non-coding RNA (435 nucleotides) under uncultured bacterium. Its description in RNAcentral is "contains 16S-23S intergenic spacer region". It matches the Rfam family "Bacterial small subunit ribosomal RNA", at positions 957 to 1393 of the family's 1533-position model. The record is from RNAcentral.